UAACACGUGAGUAACCUGCCCUUGACUCUGGGAUAAGCCUGGGAAACUGGGUCUAAUACCGGAUACGACCAUCUGGCGCAUGUCAUGGUGGUGGAAAGCUUUUGUGGUUUUGGAUGGACUCGCGGCCUAUCAGCUUGUUGGUGGGGUAAUGGCCUACCAAGGCGACGACGGGUAGCCGGCCUGAGAGGGUGACCGGCCACACUGGGACUGAGACACGGCCCAGACUCCUACGGGAGGCAGCAGUGGGGAAUAUUGCACAAUGGGCGCAAGCCUGAUGCAGCGACGCCGCGUGAGGGAUGACGGCCUUCGGGUUGUAAACCUCUUUCAGUAGGGAAGAAGCGAAAGUGACGGUACCUGCAGAAGAAGCGCCGGCUAACUACGUGCCAGCAGCCGCGGUAAUACGUAGGGCGCAAGCGUUAUCCGGAAUUAUUGGGCGUAAAGAGCUCGUAGGCGGUUUGUCGCGUCUGCUGUGAAAGACCGGGGCUCAACUCCGGUUCUGCAGUGGGUACGGGCAGACUAGAGUGCAGUAGGGGAGACUGGAAUUCCUGGUGUAGCGGUGAAAUGCGCAGAUAUCAGGAGGAACACCGAUGGCGAAGGCAGGUCUCUGGGCUGUAACUGACGCUGAGGAGCGAAAGCAUGGGGAGCGAACAGGAUUAGAUACCCUGGUAGUCCAUGCCGUAAACGUUGGGCACUAGGUGUGGGGGACAUUCCACGUUUUCCGCGCCGUAGCUAACGCAUUAAGUGCCCCGCCUGGGGAGUACGGCCGCAAGGCUAAAACUCAAAGGAAUUGACGGGGCCCGCACAAGCGGCGGAGCAUGCGGAUUAAUUCGAUGCAACGCGAAGAACCUUACCAAGGCUUGACAUGAACCGGAAAGA
RNAcentral lists this ribosomal RNA (876 nucleotides) under Paenarthrobacter nitroguajacolicus. Its description in RNAcentral is "bacterial SSU rRNA". It matches the Rfam family "Bacterial small subunit ribosomal RNA", at positions 111 to 998 of the family's 1533-position model. The record is from RNAcentral. Lineage: Bacteria; Bacillati; Actinomycetota; Actinomycetes; Micrococcales; Micrococcaceae.